GACCCCUGCCUUAUCCAUCCGCCUCCUGCCACUGACGUCAUCCGCUCUCCCAACUGACGGCCGCGAUCCGCCGGCGACAGGAGUCCCCGCUGGAUUUCGUUAGUUUUGGUAGCAGUAGUUUUAGGGGUUCUUCCCAAACCCUAAUUCCCACACGAAGCUGGCGAAUUCGCCGGAGAAAUGGACGAUGACCGGAAUGCGAAUCCCACUCUCCCUUCCGAAUCCAAUCCCGUCAAGGCCCCGCUUCUUUCGGUUCUCGGCGACGCCAGCUUGAUCGACAGGACCGAAUUUAUCAGGGUCAUCGGGCAAUCCCUCUACUCCCUCGGCUACCACAGGGCAGCCGCGAUGCUGGAAUCUGAGUCUGGUAUCUCGCUCGAGCCCCAUGAGUACACCGAGUUGCUAUUCAGUGUGUUGGCGGGGCGGUGGGACGACUGCAUUGCCACCAUUGAGUCCAUUCGCGAUUUGGAGAGCAGCGCCAGAAAUACAGCAGCGUUUCUUGUGUGGAAAGAACAUUUUUUGGAGCUGCUGGGGUUGAAUGAUGGGUUUUUGAUGGCUAGGGACGUGCUAUGGCAGCGAAUCGCCCGGCUGGAUAUGGACCGACAGAGAGUUCACGAGCUCGCCAGGGAGCUCAUUUCGUCGGAGGGAAUUAUUGAGGGAAAGGAUAGAAUCCGCAGGAGAUUGGCGUUGCUUCUUGAUUUGUUUGAGGUGCUGCCCUCUUGGGUGCGAGUGCCAAGCGGUCGGUUGGAACACCUUGUGGAAAUGACAGUUCUCAGGCAGAUCGCGUCGUGCAUUUACCACAACUCACCCGGCGAAGUCACACUCUAUGAAGAUCACGAAUGCAGCCAAGAACAGAUCCCUUCCAAGUGCAGCCAGAUACUAUAUGAUCACAAAAAUGAAGUUUGGUUUGUUCAGUUCUCAAAUAACGGGGAUUACCUGGCUUCAUCUUCAAGUGAUUGCACUGCCAUCAUAUGGACGGUGAACAUGGACUACAGUUUGUCUUUAAGGCGCAUUCUGGAGGGUCACAUGAAAGCUAUAUCUUAUUUAACAUGGAGCCCAGAUGAUAAAAUGCUUCUUACUUGUGGUAAUGCAGAAGUCCUUAAGUUAUGGGAUGUAUGUAAUGGCUCAUGUAAAUUCACAAUUACUGGUGGAGUAAAUCGAAUUAUCAGCUCAUGUGCAUGGUUUCCAGACUCUCAGAAGAUAGUCUGUGGCAGCUGGGAUCCUGAUAACCGAAUCUUUACAUGUGAUCUAGAGGGAAAUAUACUGGAUGUUUGGGAAGGAGAGAGGAUGCCUAAAGUUACUGAUCUUUCUGUGACACCUGAUGGACAAUGUAUAAUCAGUAUAUGCUCAAGUAAAGAAAUUCUUGUACGUGAUUUCCAUAGAGGAAGUGAAUGGGUCAUACAUGAGGAGCAUUCUAUUACUUCACUCUCACUUUCAAGGGAUGGCCAAUUUAUAAUUGUCAACUUGAAAAAUGAAGAGAUCCACUUGUGGAAUCUUAAUGUGACCUCAAGUUCGCCACAUAAGUUUAGGGGUCACAAAGAAGGACAGUAUGUAAUUCGUUCAUGUUUUGGUGGGUCAGAUUCUUUAUUUAUUGCCAGUGGUAGUGAGGAUUCUCAGCAAUGGUUAUAAGAGAUGGUUGAUAGACGGGUUGACCUGGUUAUGGGGAGGAUGACAGUGAUGUUGGGAACCUUGAAUAGAGGAAGCCUUGUUCAAUGCAAUAACAAUCACCGAACAAACUCAGAGGAGGAAGAAAACAUUUUUGAUGAGGAGGCUCCGUGUAGGCAUCAUAGAGCAUCUGAUAAAUUUGCUCGCGACUUGGAACUCCGACUGCAAGAUAAGUUCGUCCCCAUGUCCGCCUCCAAAAUGAGGUGAUAGGACUACGAGGAGGAUCCUACUCUGCGGGAUCCGCCCGGAGCACGACAAGGUCUGGACGGAAUCCAACCUUGACAAACGACCCCUUUGUCAGCGACAAUGAAGCUCCGAUGAUUAUCUUCGUUGACGUCUUGGGAUCAUUGAAUUCAUCUUGUCGUGAUCGCUCUGCUACUUCAUCGCUGACAUCCUUGGACUCUAUAUUUGAUGGUCUCGCAGAUUCCACAACAAAGACAACGUUGGCUGUUCCCGUGUAUGAUAAGUCGAUAUAUGAUGACAAUAUAUCUGAUGGGGCUUCGGGCCUGAAGCACUCGUCAUUGGCGAUUUAUGAGGAUAUUUUUUUUUUUGCCAUUUUGUCAGGAUCUGGUCAUGUUUCGACACCUUCAUUUGUGGAUCUUCUUCAAAAACUUUCAGAAACAAAUGCCAGAGUCCAAGGGCAGGAGUGAUGGGAGAUCUUUGGAGGAGGAACAAAAUAUCUCAUAGUUUGAUGAGUUGAUUUCAGGAUUCGAUAGGAAAACUACAGCCACAGACGAUGACCUUGCCUGGAGGGGGCUGCUAAGGAAGCAGUCGUCAAGGCUUAUAGCAAGGAAGAGAUAAUUGCAGGAGAUUUAUUAAACAUGAUCAACAACCCCUCAGGCUCUGAGCUGCAUAUGACCCAAAGGUUAAUGGAAGGGGGAAAACAGUUGUUAGUGGAGCAGGUUGGCCCUAUCAUCCUAUCAGAAGAGACCACAAGAGAGAUUGUUCUAACAUGGGCUAGAGCAACAAAGAAGACACUCACUGCAUUUACUCUUAAAGCAUUCUCGUCAGCAUUGUUAGCCAAUCCUGGGAUGAAUGCUGCAGACCGCGAAUAUGUGUUAUUGGGAUGGAAUCUGAGAGGAGAUCACAUCAUGCAGGUCAAGAAUGUCAUGGAUGCUCACCAGGAGCUUCUGAACACAGUGUUGGUAUCACAGCGUGCGUGACUUCAAAAGCACAGCAAUAGGACUCCUCAAUGGUUUUCAAGAUGCUAUUAACAAGAUUGUUAUCUCUGCUGACAAAAUGAUCCAACAGAGACCUCCACCAACUACCACUAUCGUUCGACCCCCUGCCAGGAUUCAACAACAGGUAUUGAAUAUUUAUGAUGACAAAGGCAAAGCUCCUGCUGUUGUGAAUUCAACUGGAGGUGUGGUAGCCAAAGAUUUGGACACACUCCUCAAGUUGCUAAAAAGGACAAGGGGUGAUUUUGAACAGUUUAAUGACUUGCAGAGUGCUAUUGGUAGACGUGGCCCUAAAACAGACACGCAUGAAAGAAAUACUAUAAGAGUUCUUACUAAUGCAUCCUUGUACACUCCUUUGUCUGAUCUUGAAGUUCCUUGGUUAGACGUCAGCUCUAGUUAUGAUGGAUUUGGAAUGGAACCAGUAACUUCCAUUGCAUUAAUUGGUAUUUUUCCCGAAGAGUUACUAGAUAAAUUGCCUCCCUUACGUAAUAUCCAACAUCAUAUUGAUUUGGAGCCGGGAGUGACAUUGACGAACAGAUCGCAUUACAGAAUGAGCACGUGUGAGCACGAGGAAUUGUUGAUAUAAUUGAUUCUUUUCCAUGGUGAUUCUUCUGAUGAUGAUGUAGCCAACAAUUCGAGGGCGAAUUUUCUCUUCUCGAGAAGAAUGAUGUGGGAUGAUAAAGCAAACUUGCAGAACCCAUAAUUUAUGACUUGGGAUGAACCACGGGAUAGUUUACCAGCCAAAUCGAAAUCUAUAUUUGGCAGAGGCACAAAGAAAUGCCAAUAAAAAUCCUAAGUGGCCAUUCGAUGACAGUAAAUUGCGUGAGCUGGAACCCCACCAGACCUAAUUUGCUAGCAUCAGCAAGCGAUGACCGAACAGU
Molecule: RNA transcript, 3718 nt
Organism: Zingiber officinale
Lineage: Eukaryota; Viridiplantae; Streptophyta; Magnoliopsida; Zingiberales; Zingiberaceae
Gene name: WD repeat-containing protein WDS homolog
Exons: 6
Source: RefSeq, a predicted model, not a curated record